Molecule: ribosomal RNA, 467 nt
Filed under: uncultured bacterium
Lineage: Bacteria
Description: partial 16S ribosomal RNA
Rfam family: Bacterial small subunit ribosomal RNA
Source: RNAcentral
GACGAACGCUGGCGGCGUGCUUAACACAUGCAAGUCGAACGGUGAUGCUCCAGCUUGCUGGAGUGGAUCAGUGGCGAACGGGUGAGUAACACGUGAGCAACCUGCCCCAGACUCUGGAAUAAGCGCUGGAAACGGCGUCUAAUACUGGAUACGAAACUGGCCCGCAUGGGCAUGGUUUGGAAAGUUUUUCGGUUUGGGAUGGGCUCGCGGCCUAUCAGCUUGUUGGUGAGGUAAUGGCUCACCAAGGCGACGACGGGUAGCCGGCCUGAGAGGGCGACCGGCCACACGGGGACUGAGACACGGCCCAGACUCCUACGGGAGGCAGCAGUGGGGAAUAUUGCACAAUGGGCGAAAGCCUGAUGCAGCGACGCCGCGUGAGGGAGGACGGCCUUCGGGUGGUAAACCUCUUUCAGCAGGGAAGAAGCGAAAGUGACGGUACCUGCAGAAGAAGCACCGGCUAACUACGU